GAUGAACGCUGGCGGCGUGCCUAAUACAUGCAAGUCGAGCGAACAGACGAGGAGCUUGCUCCUCUGACGUUAGCGGCGGACGGGUGAGUAACACGUGGAGAACCUACCUAUAAGACUGGGAUAACUUCGGGAAACCGGAGCUAAUACCGGAUAAUAUAUUGAACCGCAUGGUUCAAUAGUGAAAGACGGUUUUGCUGUCACUUAUAGAUGGAUCCGCGCCGCAUUAGCUAGUUGGUAAGGUAACGGCUUACCAAGGCGACGAUGCGUAGCCGACCUGAGAGGGUGAUCGGCCACACUGGAACUGAGACACGGUCCAGACUCCUACGGGAGGCCGCAGUAGGGAAUCUUCCGCGAUGGGCGAAAGCCUGACGGAGCAACGCCGCGUGAGUGAUGAAGGUCUUCGGAUCGUAAAACUCUGUUAUUAGGGAAGAACAAAUGUGUAAGUAACUAUGCACGUCUUGACGGUACCUAAUCAGAAAGCCACGGCUAACUACGUG
This 497-nucleotide ribosomal RNA is filed under the name uncultured bacterium. Its description in RNAcentral is "partial 16S ribosomal RNA". It matches the Rfam family "Bacterial small subunit ribosomal RNA", at positions 28 to 507 of the family's 1533-position model. The record is from RNAcentral.